Molecule: ribosomal RNA, 440 nt
Filed under: uncultured bacterium
Lineage: Bacteria
Description: bacterial SSU rRNA
Rfam family: Bacterial small subunit ribosomal RNA
Source: RNAcentral
CCUACGGGGGGCAGCAGUGGGGAAUAUUACACAAUGGGGGAAACCCUGAUGCAGCAACGCCGCGUGAGCGAUGAAGGCCUUCGGGUCGUAAAGCUCUGUCCUAAGGGAAGAAUACUGACGGUACCUUAGGAGGAAGCCCCGGCUAACUACGUGCCAGCAGCCGCGGUAAUACGUAGGGGGCUAGCGUUAGCCGGAAUUACUGGGCGCAAAGGGUGGGUAGGCGGCCCUUCAAGUCAGAGGUAAAAGGCUACGGCUCAACCGUAGUAAGCCUUUGAAACUGUAGGGCUUGAGUGCAGGAGAGGAGGGUGGAAUGCCCAGUGUAGCGGUGAAAUGCGUAGAUAUUGGGAGGAACACCAGUUGCGAAGGCGGAUGUCUGGACUGUACCGGACGGUGAGGCACGAAAGCGUGGGGAGCGAACAGGAUUAGGUACCCCAGUAGUC